This 163-nucleotide ribosomal RNA is filed under the name Dendrobium gratiosissimum. RNAcentral describes it as "5.8S ribosomal RNA". It matches the Rfam family "5.8S ribosomal RNA". From Rfam's summary of the family: 5.8S ribosomal RNA (5.8S rRNA) is a component of the large subunit of the eukaryotic ribosome. It is transcribed by RNA polymerase I as part of the 45S precursor that also contains 18S and 28S rRNA. Functionally, it is thought that 5.8S rRNA may be involved in ribosome translocation. Lineage: Eukaryota; Viridiplantae; Streptophyta; Magnoliopsida; Asparagales; Orchidaceae. The record is from RNAcentral.
ACACGACUCUCGGCAAUGGAUAUCUCGGCUCUCGCAUCGAUGAAGAGCGCAGCGAAAUGCGAUACGUGGUGCGAAUUGCAGAAUCCCGUGAACCAUCGAGUCUUUGAACGCAAGUUGCGCCCGAGGCCAACCGGCCAAGGGCACGUCUGCCUGGGCGUCAAGC